This is a long non-coding RNA of Carassius auratus (goldfish), 225 nucleotides long. RefSeq lists it as uncharacterized. The transcript has 3 exons. The record is from RefSeq and is a predicted model, not a curated record. Lineage: Eukaryota; Metazoa; Chordata; Actinopteri; Cypriniformes; Cyprinidae.
ACUUGAUCCGGACUGCAAAACUUACGAAGAUGUUUGCAUACUGAAGAAGAGUCCUUGGACAAAUAAUGAAACCCUCUUGGUGCCCACUACACAGGCAGGGGUGUCCAGACCUGAUCUAAGAAAGCCAGUGUUCUGUGGAGUUCAGCUCUAACACACCUGCCUGGAACUUCAGACUAAUGAAAUUGAAGUAUCCAAUGAAGACCCUAACAGUAUGGAGUAUAUCGA